Molecule: transfer RNA, 74 nt
Filed under: Candidatus Providencia siddallii
Lineage: Bacteria; Pseudomonadati; Pseudomonadota; Gammaproteobacteria; Enterobacterales; Morganellaceae
Description: transfer RNA Glutamine
Rfam family: tRNA
About the family: Transfer RNA (tRNA) molecules are approximately 80 nucleotides in length. Their secondary structure includes four short double-helical elements and three loops (D, anti-codon, and T loops).
Source: RNAcentral
UGGGGUAUAGCCAAGAGGUAAGGCACCAGGUUUUGAUCCUGGCAUCCCAGGUUCAAAUCCUGGUGCCCCAGCAA